RNAcentral lists this long non-coding RNA (1619 nucleotides) under Aquilegia coerulea. Its description in RNAcentral is "long non-coding RNA (ACOE_LNC001918)". Lineage: Eukaryota; Viridiplantae; Streptophyta; Magnoliopsida; Ranunculales; Ranunculaceae. The record is from RNAcentral.
UCAUUGGACGUCAUUUAUUUUCAUCAACGUCCUAAUAAGUACUACAAAAGAAUAACUGCGCUCUUAUAAAAGAAUAACUGCACCCUUUAAUUUAGAUUCCUUGCUCCACCCCUGGUAAACAAAUGUUUUGGCAAUGGUAUUGAAUCACAUUGUGCUUUAAGGGCGAAUAAACAAAAUUCGCAUAACACUUGAGCUGAAAGAUGUACAUAAAUCAGAUCUUAAUUAACCAGCUUCCACUCAGACAAUUCCAGAGUUUAUUUUUUUUGAGAUCAUAGUAUAAAUAUAUUAAUCAUCUGAAUCCAAAUUACAUGCCUGAUCAGCGUGCUUAAAUGCAUCGUCAGGUAUAAAAGAACAUCAAAGACAACAAACAAAACAAAACUGUAAUGAAACCUGUGUUGCUGCAUCAUUCCCUGCGAAGUCCUGCUGUGGUGCUGCCGAGUCUUCAACCCUAUACCUGUUGCUUCUUCCCAACCUAUUCAGCUCUUGAAUCAACUGCCAACUUAUCCUUGCCUAUUCUGCCAUCAGACAAUUCCAGAGUUGUGACAUUGUUGAGAGCUUUGAGAAAUGUAAGCAGACGCUGAGUAGGCAAUCAAGAACAAAUACCAAUUUAGUUCUAACGAGAGAGUAAAGACUCUCCAUAGAAAAGUUGUCCUACAAAUGACACCAUCAAACUCUAGGAAUAGAGUAGAGACAUUGAUCUUACAAGAACCAUUACAACAUUGGAUCCAAUCCCUAAUUGUUCCUAUCACCAAGCUCUUAUCCAAAUUCAUGAGAUAUCCAUAUAAACAAUCUAUCAUAAUUAAAUUCUCUAAAACUAGGCAUCUCAGUACUAAUUCCACAUUGGAAUCACCAAUUGGUAACCUAGUUGAAAUGGAUUGGUAGCUGAACAACUGAACAUUUCUGGUUAUCGACAUAAAGAGGAAUUGAGGCAGUACAAUGGAAUCCCAAAAAGUGAGAAAAAGGUUAAGUUCUUGAACAUGUCUAAUAAAUGCAAUACUAACCCAUGUAUUAACUCCACAUUUUCUACAGCUAGUUGCAUGAUCUAAUCUAAAGAUAGAGAAAAUUUAUGUAAAUGCAAAAUCUGAUCUACAAAAUCCAUAAACAAUCUUUAUUUAUUCUUCAUUAGUAGUUCUUCACAUUGGAAAAUAUUGAAUUUAAGAUUGGGAACUAGAAAUACCUUUAUUUAGUUAGCAAAGUAUAUGAUGUAGUAGCUAGACAUUCAUUCACCAUCGUGAUCGCUGGCGACGACGGGGAGGGUUUCUAUAGCAGCAGAAGAAGGAGAUGAGUAGAACUAGAAAAACAAGAAGAGGAAUAGAUAUAAUGAGAUUGGGAGGUAAAGCAGGGAGAAAUGAGAAAUAUACACACAAGAACACCAAGUAGAGAAUUGCAAGAACAAGACCAGCACACACACAAGAACACAUAUCUCAGGCACUCUUGGAGUGCCAAACUUCUUCCAAAAUUUCUCUUGGUGUGGUAGUGUCGGUAGCAAUAUUUGACAACUAAUUUCAGUUUUAUUAGUUAAUUAGUGUCAACUGUCAAGCCAGUAAAGAUGGACUGGGACCUUUCGUAUCCACAAACAAUUAGUAACAUGUUUUGCUGAUUGAUGAGACUGAUCAAAU